This is a long non-coding RNA of Pygocentrus nattereri (red-bellied piranha), 1653 nucleotides long. RefSeq lists it as uncharacterized. The transcript has 2 exons. NCBI's taxonomy places the organism in Eukaryota, Metazoa, Chordata, Actinopteri, Characiformes, Serrasalmidae. The record is from RefSeq and is a predicted model, not a curated record.
CUUCAUGGAUGGGUUAAAUGCGGAGCUGAAAUUUCCCCGUUAUGGGACUAAUAAGGGUCUCUUAAUCUUAAAUUGCUGUAGGCUGAAGAGGCAGAUAUAUCUUGUUUUUUAUGACAUCACAGAACUACAUAUGCAGCUUAAGCAGUUCUCAAAUGUUGCUAGGUUGUUUUGAGGUGGUUGCCAUGGUAUGUCAGUUGGUUGCUAGGGUGUUGCAAGGUAGUUGCUAUGGUAUCUUUGGAGGUUGCUAGGGUGUCAUUAGGUAGUUGCUGUGGUGACUGCUGGGAGCUAGGGUGUUGCUAAGUGGUUGCUAUGUUGUCUUUACUGGGUGCUAGGGUGUUGCUAGGUAGUUGCUAUGGUAUCUUUCGAGGUUGCUAGGGUGAAACUACAUAGUUGCUCUGGUAUCUUUGGAGGUUGCUAAGGUGUUACUAGGUGGUUGCUAUGGUAUCUCUGAUGGCUGCUAUGGUGUUGCUAGGUGGUCGCUAGGGUAUCUCUGUUGGGUGCUAGGGUGUUGCCAGGUGAUAUAUCGGGUGGUUGCUAAUUACUUUGGAGAGUGCAUUAACUUAAUUUUUGCAGCUUAGCUUCUUAUAUGAACUGAAUGGACAAUUUUGAAGCUUUGAAAUGUUUACAGACUACAUCAACUCUUUUUAUAAUUCCUUAUAAAAUAGGAAAAUGUGUAUUUUCAUGAUAUUUAUUAGUCCCUUAAGAAAUGACUCAGUGAUUUUUCAAUCAAAAUGAAUUGGAGAGCAUGAUGUUCACAUCUCGGCAUACAUCAGACUUGAAGAGCUGUGAAGGAUCCUGAUGGACCAUGGGUGGAUGGUGGAGAAGGAGCGUGAGAGUGGCGUCUGCGGCUGUUCAUUAUUGCCUGAAUUUGCCUCAUUCUGAUAUCUGACCUCUUGCCUUCCUCUGACCUUCGUGCUUCACCCUAGUUGACCCUCAUGCAUGUGCCCUGACCAGUGAAUCCAAAGUUUGUGACAUUGCACUUAUCUCUGUGGCUUUACCUUGAGCUUUCCUGAUGAUGUACGCACCUCUAGCUUGUCUUUUUUUUAUCUUCCAACUGAUUACAGUAGCCUGAGAAUGAAUAUGAUGAGCUCUUGAGUCUUAAUUUGAGCGUGUUGUUCUGUGUAAAUGAAGUCUAAUCGAAAUCUCCUCUGUUAGAGUCUCACUCUCAGUGUUGCAUUCUGCUGUACUGAUGUGCUCCCUCUCUCUUUCUCUCUCGCUCGCUUUCCUUUUCUCGCUGUAUCUCGCUCUCCCUUUCCCUCUUUUUCUCUCUUUCUUUGUGUUUCUCAUUCUCUCCUUUUUCAUCCCUGACCUCGCUGUUUGACUCUCUCUAUUCUCCCUCUUUCUCUCACUGGUUCUCUCGCUCCUUUUGUUUUUCUAUCUUCUCUCCAUCGUUCUUUUGUUUCUCUCUCUCUCUCUCUUUUUCAUCUUUUGUGCUUGCUCUUCUUUUUAUCUUUCUCUACUCUUUCACUCUCACUCAUUCACUCUCUUCUGCCUCUCUUUCUUGCUCUCUGGCUACCUUUUCUCUCUCUCCCUCUCUCUCUCUCUCUCUCUCUCUCUCUCUCCCCCUCUUUUCCUCCUCUAAUUCCAGUUAUAGUGCUGUGCUGUAUUGCUGACACUGAGAGCUUUACUAAAAUAAACACAGGAGAAACAUUA